GUGAUCUCUCGGGAGUUUUUGGUGAGCCUUGGUCCUCAGAAGGAGGAGGGCUGCUUAAAAUGAGGAGGAAGUAUAGACUCUGAUUCUGAACUUGGUUGUCUUGAACUUGUUAUAAGACCU
Long non-coding RNA from Lagopus leucura (white-tailed ptarmigan), 120 nucleotides. RefSeq lists it as uncharacterized. The transcript has 3 exons. The record is from RefSeq and is a predicted model, not a curated record. NCBI's taxonomy places the organism in Eukaryota, Metazoa, Chordata, Aves, Galliformes, Phasianidae.